CGGGAAACUGUGGCUAAUACCGCAUGAUGACUGAGGUCUAAAGGCGCAAGUCGCCUGAGGAGGAGCCUGCGUCCGAUUAGCUAGUUGGUGGGGUAAAGGCCUACCAAGGCUCCGAUCGGUAGCUGGUCUGAGAGGAUGAUCAGCCACACUGGGACUGAGACACGGCCCAGACUCCUACGGGAGGCAGCAGUGGGGAAUAUUGGACAAUGGGCGCAAGCCUGAUCCAGCAAUGCCGCGUGGGUGAAGAAGGUCUUCGGAUUGUAAAGCCCUUUUGGCGGGGACGAUGAUGACGGUACCCGCAGAAUAAGCUCCGGCUAACUUCGUG
Molecule: ribosomal RNA, 325 nt
Filed under: uncultured bacterium
Lineage: Bacteria
Description: bacterial SSU rRNA
Rfam family: Bacterial small subunit ribosomal RNA
Source: RNAcentral